RNAcentral lists this transfer RNA (72 nucleotides) under Danio rerio (zebrafish). It matches the Rfam family "tRNA". From Rfam's summary of the family: Transfer RNA (tRNA) molecules are approximately 80 nucleotides in length. Their secondary structure includes four short double-helical elements and three loops (D, anti-codon, and T loops). The record is from Rfam by way of RNAcentral. Lineage: Eukaryota; Metazoa; Chordata; Actinopteri; Cypriniformes; Danionidae.
GCCGUGAUCGUAUAGUGGUUAGUACUCUGCGUUGUGGCCGCAGCAAUGCCGGUUCGAAUCCGGGUCACGGCA